UAAAGAUCAAACUCUAAUUGUGGGUGCAUUUUUAAGCUUCAAUAUGCAGAAAUCUUCUCCCUCUUGCUCCCAAUUGAGUGGUUAGGGACCUCUUCUUGGACUCCCAUUCCAAGUCAAUUCCUGAUUUUCCUCUUCUUUCCUUCUUAAAUAAGGUAAUCUCUACUUAUUUAGACUUCUUUCGACCUUAGGAGACUCUUCUCCAAGUAAGA
RNAcentral lists this unclassified non-coding RNA (209 nucleotides) under Hevea brasiliensis (rubber tree). Lineage: Eukaryota; Viridiplantae; Streptophyta; Magnoliopsida; Malpighiales; Euphorbiaceae. The record is from RNAcentral.